RNAcentral lists this ribosomal RNA (1219 nucleotides) under uncultured Vampirovibrio sp. RNAcentral describes it as "partial 16S ribosomal RNA". It matches the Rfam family "Bacterial small subunit ribosomal RNA", at positions 8 to 1196 of the family's 1533-position model. The record is from RNAcentral. Lineage: Bacteria; Bacillati; Candidatus Melainabacteria; Vampirovibriophyceae; Vampirovibrionales; Vampirovibrionaceae.
AGAGUUUGAUCCUGGCUCAGAACGAACGCUGGCGGCGUGCCUAACACAUGCAAGUCGAACGAGAAAGGGGCUUCGGCCCUGAGUAAAGUGGCGCACGGGUGAGUAACACGUAGGUAACCUGCCUUCGAGCUUGGGAUAACCCGUCGAAAGAUGGGCUAAUACCGGAUAAGACCACGAUUUCUUAGGGGAUUGGGGUCAAAGGUCGCCUCUGCAUGCAAGCGAUCGCUUGAAGAUGGGCCUGCGCACCAUUAGCUAGUUGGUAGGGUAACGGCCUACCAAGGCCAAGAUGGUUAGCUGGUCUGAGAGGAUGAUCAGCCACACUGGAACUGAGACACGGUCCAGACUCCUACGGGAGGCAGCAGUGGGGAAUAUUGCGCAAUGGGCGAAAGCCUGACGCAGCAACGCCGCGUGAGUGAUGAAGGCCUUCGGGUCGUAAAGCUCUGUCGGAGGGAACGAAUGUCUUGGGAGUUAACAUCUCCCGGGAGUGACGGUACCCUCAAAGGAAGCACCGGCUAACUCUGUGCCAGCAGCCGCGGUAAUACAGAGGGUGCUAGCGUUGUUCGGAAUCAUUGGGCGUAAAGGGCGUGUAGGCGGUUUGUUAAGUCAUGUGUGAAAGCCCCCGGCUCAACCGGGGAACGACGCAUGAAACUGGCAAGCUAGAGUACCGAAGAGGGGGGUGGAAUUCCCGGUGUAGCAGUGAAAUGCGUAGAUAUCUGGAGGAACACCAGUGGCGAAAGCGCGUGACUGGGCCACAACUGACGCUGAGGAACGAAAGCCAGGGGAGCGAAAGGGAUUAGAUACCCCUGUAGUCCUGGCCGUAAACGAUGGAUACUAGGUGUAGGAGGAUUCGACCCCUUCUGUGCCGUAGCUAACGCGAUAAGUAUCCCGCCUGGGGAGUACGACCGCAAGGUUGAAACUCAAAGGAAUUGACGGGGGCCCGCACAAGCGGUGGAACAUGUGGUUUAAUUCGAUGCAACGCGAAGAACCUUACCUGGGCUUGACAUCUACGGAACCUUCUGGAAACAGGAGGGUGCCUUCGGGAGCCGUAAGACAGGUGGUGCACGGUUGUCGUCAGCUCGUGUCGUGAGAUGUUGGGUUAAGUCCCGCAACGAGCGCAACCCUCGUGGUCUGUUGUUACAGGUCGUAAGAUGCUGAACCCUCAGGCCAGACUGCCGGUGACAAACCGGAGGAAGGUGGGGAGUCGUAACAAGGUAACCGU